This 666-nucleotide ribosomal RNA is filed under the name Triticum aestivum (bread wheat). RNAcentral's name for it is "partial small subunit ribosomal RNA". The record is from RNAcentral. Lineage: Eukaryota; Viridiplantae; Streptophyta; Magnoliopsida; Poales; Poaceae.
AUGCAAGAGGCAAAGAAAUCUAUGAAAGAAAAAGGUAUUAAAGCUGAGGAUGUUAGAAAUUUACCUCCUGUUGAAGAAAUACAUGUGCUUAAUACACCACCGCUGCCUAAGGAGGUAGAGGUAAAUUCUUUAAUGAAGUUCAAUGAUAAUGAUAAUCCUCACAAUAUGCAUCCUAGUCAAUGCCUUUAUGAGUUUGAAAACUACAUUAGAAAACAAGAUCACUUCAAUGCAAAUGUUAUGAAACAAUUGAAAUAUAAUUCUGAUAUGAUUGCUCGCUUGAGUGACUUUUUAUUUAGAAUUUCAAAUGAUGUUAGAGGUGUGGGAAAACAUGCUUCUAUGGUUCAAACUCAGUUAGAACAAGUUGCUAAAUCACAAAGAGAAUUACUUGAUGAAAUGAAUCAUAAUAUGCAUGACUUUGCUGUUAGAGUUGCAACUAGAGGAGGUAAAAUGACUCAGGAACCACUUUAUCCUGAGGGACACCCAAAAAGAAUUGAAAACGAUUCACAAAGAAAUAACACUAGUGCACCUAGUCCUUCUAAAAAGAAAAAGAAGAAGAAAAAUGAUAGGACUUUGCAUACUUCUAGUGAACCUGAAAUAGAGAAACCUCCUGAUAAUGAAAAUGAAACUUCUAUCUCUGAUGCUAAAACUCAAUCUGGUAAUGAAUGA